GUGCAAGCAAGUGGUCUAGGGUUCCUACUUGAGCUUGGUUGUCUACACUAGAGUAGGUGAUGAUGUACCAUUGGAGCAAGCUUUGGAGGUUGAAGAAGACCCAGCCCCUAGUACUUAGGCCUUCUACUAGCUCUUAGUUGAUUAGCUUGUUAUUUUGAAAAACUCCUAGCUUUUAUUUUAUAUAGUUCGACACUUUUGGAAAACUUUUU
This 209-nucleotide small RNA is filed under the name Vigna angularis var. angularis. RNAcentral describes it as "Non-protein coding transcript". The record is from RNAcentral. Lineage: Eukaryota; Viridiplantae; Streptophyta; Magnoliopsida; Fabales; Fabaceae.